CCUACGGGUGGCAGCAGUAGGGAAUUUUCGUCAAUGGGCGCAAGCCUGAACGAGCGAUGCCGCGUGAGUGAAGAAGGCCUUCGGGUCGUAAAGCUCUGUUGCGGGGGAAAAAAGUCAGCAUCAGGAAAUGGGUGCUGACUGAUGGUGCACCGCCAGAAAGUCACGGCUAAAUACGUGCCAGCAGCCGCGGUAAUACGUAGGUGGCGAUCGUUAUCCCGAAUGAGUGGGCGUAAAGGGUGCGCAGGCGGUCCUGUAAGUCUGGAGUGAAACGGAUGGGGCCAACUCAUGCAUGGCCUUUGAAACUGGAGGACUGGAGAGCAGGAGAGGGUGGUGGAACGCCAUGUGUAGCGGUAAAAGGCGUAGAUAUAUGGAAGAACACCAGUGGCGAAGGCGGCCGCCUGGCGUGUUGCUGACGCUGAGGCACGAAAGCGUGGGGAGCAAAUAGGAUUAGAUACCCCUGUAGUC
Molecule: ribosomal RNA, 465 nt
Filed under: uncultured bacterium
Lineage: Bacteria
Description: partial 16S ribosomal RNA
Rfam family: Bacterial small subunit ribosomal RNA
Source: RNAcentral